GUAAUCACUUUCUGGAUUUCCUAGAAAAUGUUCUUUAAAUAGCUCUGUGCUCUGGUGUGUAGGUAACAUCACACCAAGGCUUUUCCCCUUUUGGCUGUCAUUUACAGUCCUGUUUGACAUUAAAAAAAACUCCUAGGCAUAAAGCCAUUGCAACUUGAAUAUAACAGUGUAGAGAAUAGCAUGCUAAAGAAGAAUCAAGUGAUCCUUUAUGUUUUAACCAUUUUGUACUAUACAACACAUUUCUCUUUCAUGUAAUUUAUUUCUUAAAACAGAUAAUUACUUUUGUGUUCUAUUCACCAAACAGUGAAUAAUAGUGAACAACAUGUAGGCCAAUAUAGCUGAUUGAGAAAAUAAUUCUCCAACUCACUUAUUGCCACAGCAUUGCUGUUUAAGCUUUAAUGUUUUGGUUUGGUUUCCAGUUUACUAGAUUUCUCUGUUUAGUGAAUAAAAUGAAAGGUAUUUAGCAUAGUCUAGAACACGCUAUCAAUUAGGCAAAAAAGGGCAGAUGCCCAAAAACCUGUUUAUAUAAACCAAAGAAUGAUCAGAAUGCCAAAUAGUUCAAUUUUAUUAGCCAAGUAUAAAUGAUAAAACUGAAUGCUGAUUUAAUGAGAAAUUGCUGUAUGUAAAGCUUAAUUAUCUCAUGAAUCUUAAUACAGAUGUUUGUUAACUGCUAGUAACAGAUAUAUAUAUGAAAUUUCCACCAUGGCCUGCAGUAUUCUGGGAUUGCUAACCUUUAUUACUCUAAAAGAACAACUAAGAACCAUGAGGACGAUAGUCUAUAGUGUCACACGUUAAAGAAAGACUCUAAGCACUAAAAUCACUACAGCGCAAUGUCGUGUUUAUGGUGCUAAAAGUGUCCUGACACUCUUCCAAUGUAAAUAAUCAAACUGUUUUCUAAUAGUUUUACUUUGUACCUGGGAUCCGCCUGGUGCCACUCUCUUCCUCUGUGAGAGCCGGAAGCUUUCUAUCUGAGCUAAGCCCGGAGGUACCGGGCUUAGCUCAUUGGCUAAGAGCAAUUUGCUGACUUCCUUAGCCAAUAAGCUAGCACUGUACUGUGGGCUUAGCUCAGGAGAGCUAAUAGAAGCUUGUAGCAGGAGCUUCCGUCUCUCAAUAGCGGUAAAAGAGGCAGGGAGCAGCGGCUAUAAUGCUUGGAGUCAAGGGAGGGCUGGCAGCCUUAGGCCUGGGGGGCAAAUCCAGUCAAGUGGCCCAUUGCACCAAGAGGAGAGUAAAAACACCUUUCCCAUGUGAUUGAAAGGAGGGGUGGAGGGGGCGGCUGUCACCUAAACAGACACUCAGUGACAGACACACACUUGCUGAUUUGGCACACACUAAAAAACACACACUCACUGGCACACGCACACACAGAAAGACACACUGUUACAGGCAUACUGACUCAGACAGACAGACAUACUGACAAACACACACACAUGCACAGACAAACUGGCACACACACACAGAGACAUACUUGCACACACAUAGACAUACUGACACAGACAGACAUACUGACACACACACAGGCAUACUGGCUCACACACAGACAAACUGGCACACACACACAUAGACAUACUGGCACACACACAGACACACAAAGAAAGAAACUGUUACAGGCAUACUGACUCAGACAGACAGACAUACUGACACACACACACACACACACACACACAUACACAGGCAUACUGGCUGACACACAAACAUAGACAGACAAACUGGCACACACAUAGACAGACAUACUGACACACACAGACAUACAUACUGACACACACAGGCAUACUGGUUGACACAAACAGACAAACUGGCACACACACAGAGACAUACUUGCACACACAUAGACAGACAUACUGGCACACACACAGACAGACAUACUGGCACACACACACACAGACAUACUGGCACACACACACACAGACAUACUCAUACACCCAAACUUUACACUUUUAAAACCAGUAGACAGGGGCUGAGUAAGGGGACAGAGCUGUUGUGGGGGGACGGGCUAUAGUGGAGGGUAUACGCUGUAUUUGGGGGUUUAGGAAAUGUAGGGGAGAUAGGGACUGAAGUAGGUUGAU
RNAcentral lists this long non-coding RNA (2063 nucleotides) under Pelobates cultripes (western spadefoot toad). Lineage: Eukaryota; Metazoa; Chordata; Amphibia; Anura; Pelobatidae. The record is from RNAcentral.